This 1554-nucleotide ribosomal RNA is filed under the name Escherichia coli. Its description in RNAcentral is "bacterial SSU rRNA". It matches the Rfam family "Bacterial small subunit ribosomal RNA". The record is from RNAcentral. Lineage: Bacteria; Pseudomonadati; Pseudomonadota; Gammaproteobacteria; Enterobacterales; Enterobacteriaceae.
AAAUUGAAGAGUUUGAUCAUGGCUCAGAUUGAACGCUGGCGGCAGGCCUAACACAUGCAAGUCGAACGGUAACAGGAAUCAGCUUGCUGAUUCGCUGACGAGUGGCGGACGGGUGAGUAAUGUCUGGGAAACUGCCUGAUGGAGGGGGAUAACUACUGGAAACGGUAGCUAAUACCGCAUAACGUCGCAAGACCAAAGAGGGGGACCUUCGGGCCUCUUGCCAUCAGAUGUGCCCAGAUGGGAUUAGCUAGUAGGUGGGGUAACGGCUCACCUAGGCGACGAUCCCUAGCUGGUCUGAGAGGAUGACCAGCCACACUGGAACUGAGACACGGUCCAGACUCCUACGGGAGGCAGCAGUGGGGAAUAUUGCACAAUGGGCGCAAGCCUGAUGCAGCCAUGCCGCGUGUAUGAAGAAGGCCUUCGGGUUGUAAAGUACUUUCAGCGGGGAGGAAGGGAGUAAAGUUAAUACCUUUGCUCAUUGACGUUACCCGCAGAAGAAGCACCGGCUAACUCCGUGCCAGCAGCCGCGGUAAUACGGAGGGUGCAAGCGUUAAUCGGAAUUACUGGGCGUAAAGCGCACGCAGGCGGUUUGUUAAGUCAGAUGUGAAAUCCCCGGGCUCAACCUGGGAACUGCAUCUGAUACUGGCAAGCUUGAGUCUCGUAGAGGGGGGUAGAAUUCCAGGUGUAGCGGUGAAAUGCGUAGAGAUCUGGAGGAAUACCGGUGGCGAAGGCGGCCCCCUGGACGAAGACUGACGCUCAGGUGCGAAAGCGUGGGGAGCAAACAGGAUUAGAUACCCUGGUAGUCCACGCCGUAAACGAUGUCGACUUGGAGGUUGUGCCCUUGAGGCGUGGCUUCCGGAGCUAACGCGUUAAGUCGACCGCCUGGGGAGUACGGCCGCAAGGUUAAAACUCAAAUGAAUUGACGGGGGCCCGCACAAGCGGUGGAGCAUGUGGUUUAAUUCGAUGCAACGCGAAGAACCUUACCUGGUCUUGACAUCCACAGAACUUUCCAGAGAUGGAUUGGUGCCUUCGGGAACUGUGAGACAGGUGCUGCAUGGCUGUCGUCAGCUCGUGUUGUGAAAUGUUGGGUUAAGUCCCGCAACGAGCGCAACCCUUAUCCUUUGUUGCCAGCGGUCCGGCCGGGAACUCAAAGGAGACUGCCAGUGAUAAACUGGAGGAAGGUGGGGAUGACGUCAAGUCAUCAUGGCCCUUACGACCAGGGCUACACACGUGCUACAAUGGCGCAUACAAAGAGAAGCGACCUCGCGAGAGCAAGCGGACCUCAUAAAGUGCGUCGUAGUCCGGAUUGGAGUCUGCAACUCGACUCCAUGAAGUCGGAAUCGCUAGUAAUCGUGGAUCAGAAUGCCACGGUGAAUACGUUCCCGGGCCUUGUACACACCGCCCGUCACACCAUGGGAGUGGGUUGCAAAAGAAGUAGGUAGCUUAACCUUCGGGAGGGCGCUUACCACUUUGUGAUUCAUGACUGGGGUGAAGUCGUAACAAGGUAACCGUAGGGGAACCUGCGGUUGGAUCACCUCCUUACCUUAAAGAAGC